AGCCUGGUGAGGUGAUGUGGCCUGCCGUGAGUGGAUGGGGGCUGAGAGUAUAUAAGAGUGAGAGGCCUGGGGUUCGAGGGAGAAAAAGAUGAAGCGAGAGAGAUGAAGACUGAAGCUUGCUGAAUAAACUGCUGUCAGAAGAACUGGUGGUCGUGUCGUUCUUGCUGAUUGAGAGCGGACGCGACAAGGGCCUUCCCACCUAAGGUUCACUGUGAACAAUCAAGAGCUUCUGAAAGAGAAAAUCUUUCUGGAGAGAAGGCCUUGAGCCCAAGAGCUGUCAAAGACAGUGACACCUGUGAAGAGAUCUUUUCUGUACCCACUGACCACAUGGAAAGAUGUGGAAACCAAGGAGCUAGCUUCCCUGAUGUGCUAUUUCUACCAAUCUACACUGGGACAUCAUUGUUAAAAGGCAGGCCCUCUGCAAAACACGCCAGCACUGAGCAGCACAACGCUAAUCAGGUGGUCAAAAUCACAUCCAGAAACACCCAACAUCUGCUUCCCAUCAUGAGAAGGCUGUGUGCCAACUGCAACUCAGUCAACAUGUUGUAUUGGCAAUGGUUUCUGCUAUACACAGGCCAAACUUGAGGACUAAGACUUACAAGAACUCGGAGGCAAUUUGCAUGUUUUGGACUGCCAGGUUUAUCUUCCAUCAAGCUCUUCAGGAUUUUCUCAGUUUAAGAAAUACCUUGCUGUCAUCAGUUAAAUUGAGGUUCUGGUCGGGAGAAAAUCUCCAGCUCAUGAUCGGUGGGCUCAAAUUUCACAUGUAUAUGAAGCCUUCAGUAAAUAAAUG
Molecule: long non-coding RNA, 790 nt
Filed under: Mus spicilegus (steppe mouse)
Lineage: Eukaryota; Metazoa; Chordata; Mammalia; Rodentia; Muridae
Description: lncRNA (ENSMSIG00000031030.1)
Source: RNAcentral